RNAcentral lists this ribosomal RNA (520 nucleotides) under uncultured bacterium. RNAcentral's name for it is "bacterial SSU rRNA". It matches the Rfam family "Bacterial small subunit ribosomal RNA", at positions 27 to 518 of the family's 1533-position model. The record is from RNAcentral.
GGACGAACGCUGGCGGCGUGCCUAAUACAUGGCAAGUCGAACGGUCUUUCUAUGGAAGCUUGCUUCCACUGAGAAGAUAGUGGCGAACGGGUGAGUAACACGUGGGUAACCUGCCCAUAAGAGGGGGGAUAACAUCCGGAAACGGGUGCUAAUACCGCAUAGUUUUCUUGGUCGCAUGAUCGGGAAAGGAAAGACGGCCUUUGUGCUGUCGCUUAUGGAUGGACCCGCGGCGUAUUAGUUAGUUGGUGAGGUAACGGCUCACCAAGACGAUGAUACGUAGCCGACCUGAGAGGGUGAUCGGCCACAUUGGGACUGAGACACGGUCCAAACUCCUACGGGAGGCAGCAGUAGGGAAUCUUCCGCAAUGGACGAAAGUCUGACGGAGCAACGCCGCGUGAGUGAAAGAAGGUUUUCGGAUCGUAAAACUCUGUUGUCAGAGAAGAACAAGUUGGAGAGUAACUGCUCCAGCCUUGACGGUAUCUGACCAGAAAGCCACGGCUAACUACGUGCCAGCCGCCGC